GGAGGAAAGUAGGGGAUCGAAAGACCUUGCGCUAAAGGAGCGGCCGAUGUCUGAUUAGCUAGUUGGUGGGGUAAAGGCUUACCAAGGCAACGAUCAGUAGUUGGUCUGAGAGGACGACCAACCACACUGGGACUGAGACACGGCCCAGACUCUACGGGAGGCAGCAGUGGGGAAUUUUGGACAAUGGGCGAAAGCCUGAUCCAGCCAUGCCGCGUGAGUGAAGAAGGCUUCGGGUUGUAAAGCUCUUUUAGUCGGAAAGAAAGAAUUAUGACGAAUAAUCAUGAUUUAUGACGGUACCGACAGAAAAAGCACCGGCUAACUACGUGCCAGCAGCCGCGGUAAUACGUAGGGUGCGAGCGUUAAUCGGAAUUACUGGGCGUAAAGGGUGCGCAGGCGGUUUUGUAAGUCAGAUGUGAAAGCCCCGGGCUUAACCUGGGAAUUGCGUUUGAAACUGCAAGGCUAGAGUGCAGCAGAGGGGAGUGGAAUUCCAUGUGUAGCAGUGAAAUGCGUAGAGAUGUGGAAGAACACCGAUGGCGAAGGCAGCUCCCUGGGUUGGC
This 557-nucleotide ribosomal RNA is filed under the name uncultured ammonia-oxidizing bacterium. RNAcentral's name for it is "bacterial SSU rRNA". It matches the Rfam family "Bacterial small subunit ribosomal RNA", at positions 198 to 738 of the family's 1533-position model. The record is from RNAcentral.